ACGGGGGGAGCAAGCGUUGUUCGGAUUUACUGGGCGUAAAGGGCGCGUAGGCGGCCACCGCAAGUCAAUUGUGAAAUCUCCGGGCUUAACUCGGAAAGGUCAACUGAUACUGCGGGGCUAGAGUGCAGAAGGGGCAACUGGAAUUCUCGGUGUAGCGGUGAAAUGCGUAGAGAUCGGGAGGAACACCAGUGGCGAAGGCGGCCUUCUGGACCAGUACUGACGCUCAUGCACGAAAGCGUGGGGAGCAAACAGGA
RNAcentral lists this ribosomal RNA (254 nucleotides) under uncultured prokaryote. Its description in RNAcentral is "partial 16S ribosomal RNA". It matches the Rfam family "Bacterial small subunit ribosomal RNA", at positions 525 to 777 of the family's 1533-position model. The record is from RNAcentral.